AGUGAUGAUAGAGGAGCGGACGUCAAUAGUAUGCAUUCCGAGAUUUGCAGAAUCUGUGAAGGAUGCCGAAAGGGACGCCCGCCGAAGUUUAUGCGCACUGCUUGCGUGUAUGCUGGUCCUGCAUUUAAGAAAUGCAGGGCUGUCAGAGUUUGACUCUGGAGGGCUAUCUCACAU
This 174-nucleotide non-coding RNA is filed under the name Planococcus rifietoensis. Its description in RNAcentral is "Lysine sequence". It matches the Rfam family "Lysine riboswitch aptamer". Rfam says of the family: Riboswitches are metabolite binding domains within certain messenger RNAs that serve as precision sensors for their corresponding targets. Allosteric rearrangement of mRNA structure is mediated by ligand binding, and this results in modulation of gene expression. This family includes riboswitches that sense lysine in a number of genes involved in lysine metabolism, including lysC. Lineage: Bacteria; Bacillati; Bacillota; Bacilli; Caryophanales; Caryophanaceae. The record is from Rfam by way of RNAcentral.